CAGCAGCCGCGGGAAUACGAAGGGGGCUAGCGUUGUUCGGAUUUACUGGGCGUAAAGCGCACGUAGGCGGAUCGAUCAGUCAGGGGUGAAAUCCCAGAGCUCAACUCUGGAACUGCCUUUGAUACUGUCGAUCUGGAGUAUGGAAGAGGUGAGUGGAAUUCCGAGUGUAGAGGUGAAAUUCGUAGAUAUCCGGAGGAACACCAGUGGCGAAGGCGGCUCACUGGUCCAUUACUGACGCUGAGGUGCGAAAGCGUGGGGAGCAAACAGGAUUAGAUACCCCGGUAGUCCCUGUCUCUUAUAC
This 301-nucleotide ribosomal RNA is filed under the name uncultured bacterium. RNAcentral describes it as "partial 16S ribosomal RNA". It matches the Rfam family "Bacterial small subunit ribosomal RNA", at positions 509 to 807 of the family's 1533-position model. The record is from RNAcentral.